This 974-nucleotide ribosomal RNA is filed under the name Klebsiella pneumoniae. Its description in RNAcentral is "partial 23S ribosomal RNA". It matches the Rfam family "Bacterial large subunit ribosomal RNA", at positions 419 to 1395 of the family's 2925-position model. RNAcentral also lists the same sequence under 1 other name. Lineage: Bacteria; Pseudomonadati; Pseudomonadota; Gammaproteobacteria; Enterobacterales; Enterobacteriaceae. The record is from RNAcentral.
GGGACACGUGGUAUCCUGUCUGAAUAUGGGGGGACCAUCCUCCAAGGCUAAAUACUCCUGACUGACCGAUAGUGAACCAGUACCGUGAGGGAAAGGCGAAAAGAACCCCGGCGAGGGGAGUGAAAAAGAACCUGAAACCGUGUACGUACAAGCAGUGGGAGCACCUUCGGGUGUGACUGCGUACCUUUUGUAUAAUGGGUCAGCGACUUAUAUUCUGUAGCAAGGUUAACCGUAUAGGGGAGCCGCAGGGAAACCGAGUCUUAACUGGGCGUUAAGUUGCAGGGUAUAGACCCGAAACCCGGUGAUCUAGCCAUGGGCAGGUUGAAGGUUGGGUAACACUAACUGGAGGACCGAACCGACUAAUGUUGAAAAAUUAGCGGAUGACUUGUGGCUGGGGGUGAAAGGCCAAUCAAACCGGGAGAUAGCUGGUUCUCCCCGAAAGCUAUUUAGGUAGCGCCUCGUGAAUUCAUCUUCGGGGGUAGAGCACUGUUUCGGCUAGGGGGUCAUCCCGACUUACCAACCCGAUGCAAACUACGAAUACCGAAGAAUGUUAUCACGGGAGACACACGGCGGGUGCUAACGUCCGUCGUGAAGAGGGAAACAACCCAGACCGCCAGCUAAGGUCCCAAAGUCAUGGUUAAGUGGGAAACGAUGUGGGAAGGCACAGACAGCCAGGAUGUUGGCUUAGAAGCAGCCAUCAUUUAAAGAAAGCGUAAUAGCUCACUGGUCGAGUCGGCCUGCGCGGAAGAUGUAACGGGGCUAAACCAUGCACCGAAGCUGCGGCAGCGACACUAUGUGUUGUUGGGUAGGGGAGCGUUCUGUAAGCCUGCGAAGGUGUGCUGUGAGGCAUGCUGGAGGUAUCAGAAGUGCGAAUGCUGACAUAAGUAACGAUAAAGCGGGUGAAAAGCCCGCUCGCCGGAAGACCAAGGGUUCCUGUCCAACGUUAAUCGGGGCAGGGUGAGUCGACCCCUAAG